This 483-nucleotide ribosomal RNA is filed under the name uncultured bacterium. RNAcentral describes it as "bacterial SSU rRNA". It matches the Rfam family "Bacterial small subunit ribosomal RNA", at positions 28 to 518 of the family's 1533-position model. The record is from RNAcentral.
GAUAAACGCUGGCGGCGCACAUAAGACAUGCAAGUCGAACGAACUUAACUCAUUCUUUUAGUUUGAGAGCGGUUAGUGGCGGACUGGUGAGUAACACGUAAGCAACCUGCCUAUUAGAGGGGAAUAACAGUGAGAAAUCAUUGCUAAUACCGCAUAUGCUAACAGUAUCGCAUGAUACAGUUAGGAAAGGAGUAAUCCGCUAAUAGAUGGGCUUGCGUCUGAUUAGAUAGUUGGUGGGGUAACGGCCUACCAAGUCGACGAUCAGUAGCCGGACUGAGAGGUUGAACGGCCACAUUGGGACUGAGAUACGGCCCAGACUCCUACGGGAGGCAGCAGUCGGGAAUAUUGCGCAAUGGAGGAAACUCUGACGCAGUGACGCCGCGUAUAGGAAGAAGGUUUUCGGAUUGUAAACUAUUGUCGUUAGGGAAGAUACAAGACAGUACCUAAGGAGGAAGCCCCGGCUAACUAUGUGCCAGCAGCCGC